AUCCAACUGACGAGUCCAAAAUAGGGCGAAACGAGCCUGCUGGAU
RNAcentral lists this non-coding RNA (45 nucleotides) under Schistosoma mansoni. The record is from RNAcentral. Lineage: Eukaryota; Metazoa; Platyhelminthes; Trematoda; Strigeidida; Schistosomatidae.